This is a non-coding RNA of Pelobates cultripes (western spadefoot toad), 631 nucleotides long. NCBI's taxonomy places the organism in Eukaryota, Metazoa, Chordata, Amphibia, Anura, Pelobatidae. The record is from the annotation of a GenBank genome assembly.
UGGCCGGAGGAAUAGCUAAGAAGCGAAGUCCCGAUGGUCGCAUUGCGACGUCAUAAGGGUGCGGCAGUGCUGCAGGAUGCACGUGUGUUCUGCCAGUCCAGGAAGUCAGUGAGAGCUGCCCGCUGCAGGGCUGGGUGAUGGGAGGCGGCUGACAGUGGCCACUGUGAUAGUGCGCUCCCUGUGCAGCCACGGGGGACCUGCUAACAAUGAAUGGCAGGCUGCAUUGCCCAUAGACUGUAACGGGCAGUCUGGGAGACACCGCAGACACUCCGCCAAUCUCACAUAUCGGGAAUCCUUGCUUCACGUUUACCGAUAUCCUCCAACCAAAUAAAUACCUAUUCUGACAGGAGGCAACGAACAGACCUAAACAAUAGAAAGCUUCAUUAACAUGCCGUAUGUUGAUGGGGCAUUCAGUGGGUUGGUCAGUAUUCGAGGAACACAUAGUGAGAUAUGCUUACAGUUACACUGUUGGGAUCAGGCACAUUUCACAGACAGGGUCUUCGCUGCUAAUAACAGAAGGGGGGGAGGGGGGAAUCAAGCAAAAUAAAACAACAAGUGAGACUUAAACUGACAGUACAUGCCAAGUGUGCAAUAUGUUCUUUUAAGUUUGACAUGUUAUCCAAGCUCAAAU